RNAcentral lists this non-coding RNA (25 nucleotides) under Drosophila erecta. The record is from RNAcentral. Lineage: Eukaryota; Metazoa; Arthropoda; Insecta; Diptera; Drosophilidae. RNAcentral also lists the same sequence under 9 other names.
UCCCUGGUGGUCUAGUGGUUAGGAU